This 759-nucleotide long non-coding RNA is filed under the name Triticum aestivum (bread wheat). RNAcentral describes it as "long non-coding RNA (TAES_LNC002424)". The record is from RNAcentral. Lineage: Eukaryota; Viridiplantae; Streptophyta; Magnoliopsida; Poales; Poaceae.
AGCCCUCGCGCUGCUGUCCGUCCACCCUAGGGCGACCUGCUGAUUCCCGGAGCUCAUCACGCAUGGUACCUUUUAGUCCUGUUGAUUCCCUCCUCAUGUGGCCUGAUUCAUUACUACUGUGCAAUAUGGAUCUCACCUUUUGUUGGUAUUGGCUGUAGAUGCAGAAAACGGAAGCCUCAUGAAGCCUGAUGCAUUACUACUCUGUGCAACAUGCAUCUCACCUUUUGUUGGUACUGGCUGUAGAUGCAGAAAACGGAACAUCUGCCUCCUUUUUUGGUGCGGAGAUGAGCCCCUAUGGUAAAUGAAUCUACGGUAGAUCCACUUAAUUUAAUUCAUUUUUGUUGCCUUUAGCCAUUUAUGCGGUUCUAAAAGUGACUUCACAUGUGUUCAUUAUCUAUUGGUGCAGGUAUGCAAGUACAGGUCAUUUUAUAAGAAGGGGAUGCAUUAUUUUCUGGUUUGUGAUUCUCCGUACAGAACAGAGAAGUUUCUCCAAUUUAUUUCUUCCCUCGGAUUGGACUGAUACCAGUACCAACUGUGACUUGGCAUUUUUGAGUCAUCUUGAUACUUUCAUAGUAAUCUAACAAUGUCUUUGUAGUGGUUUACCUUUUUUUUUGCAGAGAUCAUCUAUUAUUGUUGUAAAAAAAUAACACUAAUGUAUAUCAUUAGAAUUUUGCAAGAGUAAAUAUAUAAGAUGCACAUCUUGUUUAUACAGUAUCCUCACUGAAAUCAUUCAGUUGGAGCAUGUGAAUAGAAAUAAAU